This 343-nucleotide ribosomal RNA is filed under the name Salmonella enterica. Its description in RNAcentral is "partial 23S ribosomal RNA". It matches the Rfam family "Bacterial large subunit ribosomal RNA", at positions 1 to 378 of the family's 2925-position model. Lineage: Bacteria; Pseudomonadati; Pseudomonadota; Gammaproteobacteria; Enterobacterales; Enterobacteriaceae. The record is from RNAcentral.
GAGGUUAAGCGACUAAGCGUACACGGUGGAUGCCCUGGCAGUCAGAGGCGAUGAAGGACGUGCUAAUCUGCGAUAAGCGCCGGUAAGGUGAUAUGAACCGUUAUAACCGGCGAUUUCCGAAUGGGGAAACCCAGUGUGACUCGUCACACUAUCAUUAACUGAAUCCAUAGGUUAAUGAGGCGAACCGGGGGAACUGAAACAUCUAAGUACCCCGAGGAAAAGAAAUCAACCGAGAUUCCCCCAGUAGCGGCGAGCGAACGGGGAGGAGCCCAGAGCCUGAAUCAGCAUGUGUGUUAGUGGAAGCGUCUGGAAAGGCGCGCGAUACAGGGUGACAGCCCCGUAC